UCCAAUAAAAAUUUAAAAAAAUUCAGCGGGUUGAGUUUGGUGCCCAAACUUUCCAGAUCAAAAAUUAAAUAUUUAAGGACAUUUGAGAUUUAAUUUUGUGAUUUUUUGAGAUCAGGAACACCUCGAACGAAGUUGUCAAGUUACUCCACAGUUUUUCGGGUUUUCUGUUUUCAGCAAUUUUUAUUGAUUCUUAGCUGUAGG
This 201-nucleotide long non-coding RNA is filed under the name Gossypium barbadense (sea-island cotton). RNAcentral's name for it is "long non-coding RNA (GBAR_LNC022378)". The record is from RNAcentral. Lineage: Eukaryota; Viridiplantae; Streptophyta; Magnoliopsida; Malvales; Malvaceae.